AUACGGAGGGUGCAAGCGUUACUCGGAAUCACUGGGCGUAAAGCGCGCGCAGGCGGCUUGAUAAGUUGGAUGUGAAAGCCUACGGCUCAACCGUAGAACUGCAUCCAAAACUGUCAAGCUAGAGUCUGGGAGGGGAAGAUGGAAUUAGUUGUGUAGGGGUAAAAUCCGUAGAGAUAACUAGGAAUACCAAAAGCGAAGGCGAUCUUCUGGAGCAGUACUGACGCUGAGGCGCGAAAGCGUGGGGAGCAAACAGGAUUAGAAACCCUAGUAGUCC
This 274-nucleotide ribosomal RNA is filed under the name uncultured bacterium. Its description in RNAcentral is "partial 16S ribosomal RNA". It matches the Rfam family "Bacterial small subunit ribosomal RNA", at positions 523 to 796 of the family's 1533-position model. The record is from RNAcentral.